This 536-nucleotide ribosomal RNA is filed under the name Nakazawaea holstii. Its description in RNAcentral is "SSU rRNA". It matches the Rfam family "Bacterial small subunit ribosomal RNA", at positions 359 to 950 of the family's 1533-position model. The record is from RNAcentral. Lineage: Eukaryota; Fungi; Ascomycota; Pichiomycetes; Alaninales; Pachysolenaceae.
GAAUAUUAGUCAAUGAUCAAAUAGAUUGAUCUAGUUACUUAGAAAAAUGAGAAACCAAAAAGAAAAGAUAAGGAUAUUUGAAAAAAAUAAAGUUUAAAUUAUACUUAUAAUAAUGAUAGAGUAUAAUAGAGUCUUAACAAAAAUUAGUGCCAGCAGUUGCGGUUAAACUGAGAAGACAAACGUUAAUCAUUAAGGCUUAAAGGAUCCGUAGAACGCCCCCUUUAAAAAUGAGGGGGUAGAGUUAUUAAAUGUUAAAAGAAGUGUUAUGGUAGGGAUGAAAUAUGAUAAUCAUAAAAUGACUUCUAAUAUGUAGAUAUUUAACUUGAAUUAACUGACGUUGAGAGGAUGAAAGCAUAAGUAGUUAAAUGGAUUAGAUACCCAUGUAUUUUAUGCUGUAAACUAUGAAUACUAAUUUAUUAAUUAUUUUAAUUUAUAAAGUGAAAACGUAAGUAUUCCGCCCGGUGAGUAUUUUCGCAAGGAAGAAAUCCAAGACAAUAGACGGUUACAUAAAUAAGCAGUGAAUUGUGUUAUUUAAU